RNAcentral lists this ribosomal RNA (497 nucleotides) under uncultured bacterium. RNAcentral's name for it is "partial 16S ribosomal RNA". It matches the Rfam family "Bacterial small subunit ribosomal RNA", at positions 28 to 507 of the family's 1533-position model. The record is from RNAcentral.
GAUGAACGCUGGCGGCGUGCCUAAUACAUGCAAGUCGAGCGAACAGACGAGGAGCUUGCUCCUCUGACGUUAGCGGCGGACGGGUGAGUAACACGUGGAUAACCUACCUAUAAGACUGGGAUAACUUCGGGAAACCGGAGCUAAUACCGGAUAAUAUAUUGAACCGCAUGGUUCAAUAGUGAAAGACGGUUUUGCUGUCACUUAUAGAUGGAUCCGCGCCGCAUUAGCCAGUUGGUAAGGUAACGGCUUACCAAGGCGACGAUGCGUAGCCGACCUGAGAGGGUGAUCGGCCACACUGGAACUGAGACACGGUCCAGACUCCUACGGGAGGCAGCAGUAGGGAAUCUUCCGCAAAGGGCGAAAGCCUGACGGAGCAACGCCGCGUGAGUGAUGAAGGUCUUCGGAUCGUAAAACUCUGUUAUUAGGGAAGAACAAAUGUGUAAGUAACUAUGCACGUCUUGACGGUACCUAAUCAGAAAGCCACGGCUAACUACGUG